AAAGAUUAAAAUUAUAUUUCAUUAAUUCCAAGCUUGUUUGGUGGAACAGUCGCUUUGAGCUGUGUUCUCUCAAAUCUUUCUCGAUCCCUAGCUCUGCAUUCUCCACUAAUUGUCCCAAAUGUCUCUGCAACCCUAACUUUAACUCUCCACUCUCUACGCACUGAUUCUCUUAAAUGUCUCUGCAACCCUAACUUCAACUCUUCACUCUCCACGCACUCUCCACUCUCCACGCACUGAUUCUCUCAAAUCUCUCUCGAACCCUAUCUUCAACCAUCCACUCUCGACGCAUUGAAACUCUCAUCUCUCGAACGCACUGAAACACUCGAGCUGUGUUCGUGCGAAAAACCUUUUGAGGAAUCUCCUUGUGCCUCGUUGAGGAAUCUUGUUCAGCACCUUCGUUUCACCUCCGUGGUUCGGUGGCGGUCUUCGUUAGGGUGACGCUAAGACCUUCAUCUGCCACAACCACCGCCAUCGCCACUGCCACCGCGAGGCUUGGAUAGAAUCGGAGCAACCAUAGCAGCAAUCAUUUAGGUUGAACCGGAUGAGUGAAGGGUCAUGAAGGGGCUAUGUGCUUUUCUAAUAUCAUGACGUGGACAAUAGUAGUGAUAAAAACUGGUUCAGAGGUUGAGUGGAUAUGAAUAUUGUUGAUUGAUGAAAAGAAAGAACACAAUUUUUCUGGAUAUUUGAGAGAUCCAGGACUCUACUUUGCUGCAGUACCGACUCUCCAAUUGACUUCCCACUCCUCUCAACACCUCUCCCUAUUUAUAGGCAACACCGUUUAUGUCUCUUAACUAUUCUAGCUCUCAACUACACAAGCCUAAUUAGUUUAGGUGAAUAGCCUGAGGCUGCUGGCAGAGCUGACCCCACCCAGCAACUCAAAAUAGAUUUCACUCCUCCUAGAUUAAACACAAAUAUUUGAAUGCUCCAAUGCUCUUCCUGCACACAUGUCUCCUCUUUCUCUUAAACCUCCCCAUUCUGUUUUAUCCACUCUUCCCCUCCUCUUUCUCUUUCUUUCUAUUUCUUGCUACCCCUCUCUAUUUCUCUCAUCUAUCUCACCCAAAUUUCUUGAGUGAAGUUUUCCUUUGGAAAUGUACCCUUCAUACAUUCAGACAGUAAAUCUGGGAUAGAACACUGCCAGAUAGAAAUGAUUAUUAUACCUUCAUACCAGGGAUGGUUGUAAAAAUUUUCUAUCUCUAUAGAAAAGAAAGCAUGAAAGUGGCCAAUGGCUUGAAAUUGAAGCUACCGAAGUCACACCCAAUCGUGUUGACACCUGUGCAGUUAAUGCUUUUGUCUUCUGCCCAGGUACACCAUUUGCCUUCAAGGGUGGUUUCUUGGUUGGUCCAGAUUUUGCUUGACUUGGAAAAACCUUUGGCUGACUUACUCAAGCAGAUGCAAGACGUUCAAUGAUGGAAUUCCUGAUGACUGGUUUGUCCAAUUUCUUAGUCUCCUCAUUGGAUGAAUGUAUCUUAGGAUUCCCUUUCUUUGCAGAAGUCAAGGAAGUCUUGGUUUCAAUUUCAGUCUUCUUAGAAGCAUUUCUUUCAGUAAUUCUUUUCUGCAUCUGAAUCAUCAUAUCCUCCUUUCUCUUUCUAUUUUCCUCCUUCUACAAAUAAAAGAGGACAAUAGAUGUGAAAAAUUAUCGGUAAGAAAAUAAGGCACUGCAACAAUUAAAUUAUCGUCAUUUGCAUCCUCUUUUGUUUUUUAAAUUAUCCAUUUAUAUUAAAAAAAACAAACUCAAUUAAAAUUUCCUCGUACUCCAUCAGUAAUACAAAAAAAAGGAAUCAAUAUUAUUGUCGAUUUUUUCAUAUUAAAAAAAUGUUACACAAAGAGCUCAUUGAAAGUUAUAUAUAAAAAAAUGAGGAAAAUUGUCUAAACUUAUUAAAAGAGCUCAUUGUGGAUUUUUUUCAUAUUAAAAUAAUAUUACACAAAGAGCUCACUGAAAUUUAUAUAUAUAAAAAUAAAAAAUAAAAAUUUCAAAUGGUCGAGGAAAAUUGUCUAAACUUCUACAUUUUUUAUUUAUAAAUAAAUCCUAAAAUCGUGGUACCAAACGCAAACCAAAACUGAAAUAUAAACUCAGAAAGUUGCAUCAGAAUGAAGAAGACAUAGAUUUGUGGCACGAAAACAAGAGCUUUUAUUAAUCUCCUUACACAAGGAACAAAGCCUGAAAGGGCUUCAUCCAUUUUAGAGAGAGCUUACAUAA
This is a long non-coding RNA of Vigna angularis (adzuki bean), 2197 nucleotides long. RefSeq lists it as uncharacterized. Lineage: Eukaryota; Viridiplantae; Streptophyta; Magnoliopsida; Fabales; Fabaceae. The transcript has 5 exons. The record is from RefSeq and is a predicted model, not a curated record.